Molecule: ribosomal RNA, 758 nt
Filed under: uncultured Prevotella sp.
Lineage: Bacteria; Pseudomonadati; Bacteroidota; Bacteroidia; Bacteroidales; Prevotellaceae
Description: bacterial SSU rRNA
Rfam family: Bacterial small subunit ribosomal RNA
Source: RNAcentral
GAUGAACGCUAGCUACAGGCUUAACACAUGCAAGUCGAGGGGCGGCAUGGAAGAAGCUUGCUUCUUCUGAUGGCGACCGGCGCACGGGUGCGUAACGCGUAUCAAACCUGCCUCAUACUCGGGGAUAGCCUUGCGAAAGUAAGAUUAAUACCCGAUGUUGUUAUGUUUCCGCAUGGUGAUAUAACCAAAGAUUUAUCGGUAUGAGAUGGUGAUGCGUCCGAUUAGGUAGUAGGCGGGGUAACGGCCCACCUAGCCAUCGAUCGGUAGGGGUUCUGAGAGGAAGGUCCCCCACACUGGAACUGAGACACGGUCCAGACUCCUACGGGAGGCAGCAGUGAGGAAUAUUGGUCAAUGGACGGAAGUCUGAACCAGCCAAGUAGCGUGCAGGAUGACGGCCCUCCGGGUUGUAAACUGCUUUUAGUUGGGAAUAAAAAGAGGGACGUGUCCCUAAUUGUAUGUACCUUCAGAAAAAGGACCGGCUAAUUCCGUGCCAGCAGCCGCGGUAAUACGGAAGGUCCAGGCGUUAUCCGGAUUUAUUGGGUUUAAAGGGAGCGUAGGCGGAUUAUUAAGUCAGUGGUGAAAGACGGUGGCUCAACCAUCGUUAGCCAUUGAAACUGGUAGUCUUGAGUGCAGACAGGGAUGCUGGAACUCGUGGUGUAGCGGUGAAAUGCUUAGAUAUCACGAUGAACUCCGAUCGCGAAGGCAGGUGUCCGGGCUGCAACUGACGCUGAGGCUCGAAAGUGUGGGUAUCAAACAGG